AUACGUAGGGGGCGAGCGUUGUCCGGAAUGAUUGGGCGUAAAGGGCGCGUAGGCGGCCUGUUAAGUCUGGAGUGAAAGUCCUGUUUUCAAGGUGGGAAUUGCUUUGGAUACUGAUGGGCUUGAGUGCAGGAGAGGUUAUCGGAAUUCCCGGUGUAGCGGUGAAAUGCGUAGAGAUCGGGAGGAACACCAGUGGCGAAGGCGGGUAACUGGACUGCAACUGACGCUGAGGCGCGAAAGUGUGGGGAGCAAACAGGAUUAGAUACCCUGGUAGUCCACACUGUAAACGAUGAAUGCUAGGUGUAAGAGGUAUCGACCCCUUUUGUGCCGGAGUUAACACAAUAAGCAUUCCGCCUGGGGAGUACGGCCGCAAGGUUGAAACUCAAAGGAAUUGACGGGG
RNAcentral lists this ribosomal RNA (397 nucleotides) under uncultured bacterium. RNAcentral's name for it is "partial 16S ribosomal RNA". It matches the Rfam family "Bacterial small subunit ribosomal RNA", at positions 523 to 918 of the family's 1533-position model. The record is from RNAcentral.